GCGGCGUGCCUAAUACAUGCAAGUAGAACGCUGAAGGAGGAGCUUGCUCUUCUGGAUGAGUUGCGAACGGGUGAGUAACGCGUAGGUAACCUGCCUGGUAGCGGGGGAUAACUAUUGGAAACGAUAGCUAAUACCGCAUAAGAGUAGAUGUUGCAUGACAUUUGCUUAAAAGGUGCAAUUGCAUCACUACCAGAUGGACCUGCGUUGUAUUAGCUAGUUGGUGGGGUAACGGCUCACCAAGGCGACGAUACACAGCCGACCUGAGAGGGUGAUCGGCCACACUGGGACUGAGACACGGCCCAGACUCCUACGGGAGGCAGCAGUAGGGAAUCUUCGGCAAUGGACGGAAGUCUGACCGAGCAACGCCGCGUGAGUGAAGAAGGUUUUCGGAUCGUAAAGCUCUGUUGUAAGAGAAGAACGAGUGUGAGAGUGGAAAGUUCACACUGGACG
This 450-nucleotide ribosomal RNA is filed under the name Streptococcus sp. oral taxon 064. RNAcentral's name for it is "bacterial SSU rRNA". It matches the Rfam family "Bacterial small subunit ribosomal RNA", at positions 39 to 474 of the family's 1533-position model. The record is from RNAcentral. Lineage: Bacteria; Bacillati; Bacillota; Bacilli; Lactobacillales; Streptococcaceae.